GAUCACCUACGGGGCGCAGCAGUGAGGAAUAUUGGUCAAUGGUCGGGAGACUGAACCAGCCAAGCCGCGUGAGGGAGGAAGGUACAGAGUAUCGUAAACCUCUUUUGUCAGGGAACAAAGACUGGGACGCGUCCCCGGAUGAGUGUACCUGAAGAAAAAGCAUCGGCUAACUCCGUGCCAGCAGCCGCGGUAAUACGGAGGAUGCGAGCGUUAUCCGGAUUUAGUGGGUUUAAAGGGUGCGUAGGCGGACUGUCAAGUCAGCGGUAAAAUACGGGGGCUCAACCUCCGCCCGCCGUUGAAACUGA
This 305-nucleotide ribosomal RNA is filed under the name uncultured bacterium. RNAcentral describes it as "bacterial SSU rRNA". It matches the Rfam family "Bacterial small subunit ribosomal RNA", at positions 333 to 636 of the family's 1533-position model. The record is from RNAcentral.